This 465-nucleotide ribosomal RNA is filed under the name uncultured bacterium. RNAcentral's name for it is "partial 16S ribosomal RNA". It matches the Rfam family "Bacterial small subunit ribosomal RNA", at positions 338 to 795 of the family's 1533-position model. The record is from RNAcentral.
CCUACGGGAGUCAGCAGUAGGGAAUCUUCCACAAUGGGCGAAAGCCUGAUGGAGCAACGCCGCGUGGGUGAAGAAGGUCUUCGGAUCGUAAAACCCUGUUGUUAGAGAAGAAAGUGCGUGAGAGUAACUGUUCACGUUUCGACGGUAUCUAACCAGAAAGCCACGGCUAACUACGUCCCAGCAGCCGCGGUAAUACGUAGGUGGCAAGCGUUAUCCGGAUUUAUUGGGCGUAAAGGGAACGCAGGCGGUCUUUUAAGUCUGAUGUGAAAGCCUUCGGCUUAACCGGAGUAGUGCAUUGGAAACUGGGAGACUUGAGUGCAGAAGAGGAGAGUGGAACUCCAUGUGUAGCGGUGAAAUGCGUAGAUAUAUGGAAGAACACCAGUGGCGAAAGCGGCUCUCUGGUCUGUAACUGACGCUGAGGUUCGAAAGCGUGGGUAGCAAACAGGAUUAGAUACCCUGGUAGUC